UACGUAGGUGGCUAGCGUUGUCCGGAUUUACUGGGCGUAAAGAGCGCGCAGGCGGUCGUACAAGUCGCGUGUGAAAGCCCCCGGCUCAACUGGGGAGGGUCACGCGAUACUGUUCGACUCGAAGGCAGGAGAGGGAAGUGGAAUUCCCGGUGUAGUGGUGAAAUGCGUAGAUAUCGGGAGGAACACCAGUGGCGAAGGCGACUUCCUGGCCUGUUCUUGACGCUGAGGCGCGAAAGCUAGGGUAGCAAACGGG
RNAcentral lists this ribosomal RNA (253 nucleotides) under uncultured bacterium. RNAcentral's name for it is "partial 16S ribosomal RNA". It matches the Rfam family "Bacterial small subunit ribosomal RNA", at positions 524 to 776 of the family's 1533-position model. The record is from RNAcentral.